AAGUAACAAUAAGUUACAAGUGAUCAAAGAGAUUAGUAAAAUUUAACAAUUUAUAAUCUCCCGAUAAUGUCAAGAACGGCCGGCGACAAGUCAAGUGAUCCGAAUAAGCGCUGCCGGCGCCAAGCGAAUAAAUAUUUACGAAUCGUGCGGACGGCAAAGUGUUAAAAUCAAUUUUAAGGAGAUGAUCC
This 188-nucleotide long non-coding RNA is filed under the name Neodiprion pinetum (white pine sawfly). RNAcentral describes it as "uncharacterized LOC124218264". Lineage: Eukaryota; Metazoa; Arthropoda; Insecta; Hymenoptera; Diprionidae. The record is from RNAcentral.